RNAcentral lists this long non-coding RNA (265 nucleotides) under Setaria italica (foxtail millet). Its description in RNAcentral is "long non-coding RNA (SITA_LNC001335)". The record is from RNAcentral. Lineage: Eukaryota; Viridiplantae; Streptophyta; Magnoliopsida; Poales; Poaceae.
GCAUGUUCGAGCGCCGUGCCGGGCUGCCGGCCCCUCGAUCAACAGGAAGAGGAGCGCCGUCUGGAGUGAGUAACUGGCAACGGGACAACCAUGUCCCGAAUCAGCGCCCAGCAGCGAGCAGAGCAUUGAACCAUGGCGAGGCCGAGGCGAGCCGGCCAGGAGCAUGCGGCCGCCGUACUAGGAGCCAGCGGCCUGCGGGCGCGCGCAGAAAAUGAUGCAACGUGCCCAGUCGCCAGCACAUGCGACUCUACAGCCCGACAAGCCG